GGUAUGUGUGACCAUGUAU
This 19-nucleotide non-coding RNA is filed under the name Arabidopsis thaliana (thale cress). The record is from RNAcentral. Lineage: Eukaryota; Viridiplantae; Streptophyta; Magnoliopsida; Brassicales; Brassicaceae.